Molecule: long non-coding RNA, 227 nt
Filed under: Jatropha curcas
Lineage: Eukaryota; Viridiplantae; Streptophyta; Magnoliopsida; Malpighiales; Euphorbiaceae
Description: long non-coding RNA (JCUR_LNC001756)
Source: RNAcentral
UCUGACUCCUCUUUCUCCUCAACCUUCUCCUCCUUUUUGGCCUCAGCAGCAGGAGCAGCACCACCACCUCCAGCAGCAGGUGCUGCAGCAGCAGCAACAGCUACACCACCACCAGAAGGCACAGAUGCCAAUUUCUCCCUUCCUGCUGCAACCAAUUCUGUGAUAUCCUUUCCUUCAACUUGGGACAACAAUAACUGAAUCUUAUCAUCAUCAGCAUCAGCUCCAAC